Molecule: long non-coding RNA, 218 nt
Filed under: Physcomitrium patens
Lineage: Eukaryota; Viridiplantae; Streptophyta; Bryopsida; Funariales; Funariaceae
Description: long non-coding RNA (PPAT_LNC009997)
Source: RNAcentral
CUGUCUUGUUAGAUUAACCCAAUAAAUUUCAUUCACUCCGCAUACUCAAUCCUAUAGACACCCUUUUAAUUCUUCAUCACAGACAUAACUCGAUUUCACAAAACAGUCAAGAGUAAUCAAACCCACUUGAUUAAAAAUCCCGAUUCACCAUUACAACACUGACUUCAGCAACGAUUGCCUCAGUCUUCCCAAAACCCUAUGAAGAAAAAAAUCCCAAU